RNAcentral lists this ribosomal RNA (550 nucleotides) under uncultured bacterium. RNAcentral describes it as "bacterial SSU rRNA". It matches the Rfam family "Bacterial small subunit ribosomal RNA", at positions 355 to 896 of the family's 1533-position model. The record is from RNAcentral.
UAGGGAAUCUUCGGCAAUGGACGGAAGUCUGACCGAGCAACGCCGCGUGAGUGAAGAAGGUUUUCGGAUCGUAAAGCUCUGCUGUAAGAGAAGAACGAGUGUGAGAGUGGAAAGUUCACACUGUGACGGUAUCUUACCAGAAAGGGACGGCUAACUACGUGCCAGCAGCCGCGGUAAUACGUAGGCCCCGAGCGUUAUCCGGAUUUAUUGGGCGUAAAGCGAGCGCAGGCGGUUAGAUAAGUCUGAAGUUAAAGGCUGUGGCUUAACCAUAGUACGCUUUGGAAACUGUUUAACUUGAGUGCAAGAGGGGAGAGUGGAAUUCCAUGUGUAGCGGUGAAAUGCGUAGAUAUAUGGAGGAACACCGGUGGCGAAAGCGGCUCUCUGGCUUGUAACUGACGCUGAGGCUCGAAAGCGUGGGGAGCAAACAGGAUUAGAUACCCUGGUAGUCCACGCCGUAAACGAUGAGUGCUAGGUGUUAGACCCUUUCCGGGGUUUAGUGCCGUAGCUAACGCAUUAAGCACUCCGCCUGGGGAGUACGACCGCAAGGUUG